UUCUUCCUUUGCUAUUUAUUUUGUCCAGUGUCCUACUAGGAUUUAUAGGUAUCUGGUGGGUAUACAUCCGUAGUAGCGAUAAAAACGGGCCAAUAUGCAGGGUACUUUAUUAGGUCAUAGUUUUCAGGCCAUUUUUAAGCCCUUUACAAAAGCGCUUCCAUUCGUAAUGCUUUUGAGCCAGUAUUGGGUUUUACUAUGGAUAAGUACGUGGCCUAGGUAGUAUAUAUGACUCUCUCUUUCCCCUUCCGGGGAUGCUUACGAAAGAGGGUCUUUUCCAAGAUUACACUAUGAAGCAUUUGCUUAUCAAGCCGACUGACGGGCAGCGCAUCAACACUUAAUGGAUAAGCUACGGUAAUGGGUAUCCGAAUUGACGGGCAGCGCCAUCAACACUUAAUGGAUAAGCUACGGUAAUAGGUAUCCGUAUAAGAUAAACG
Molecule: long non-coding RNA, 434 nt
Filed under: Linum usitatissimum (flax)
Lineage: Eukaryota; Viridiplantae; Streptophyta; Magnoliopsida; Malpighiales; Linaceae
Description: long non-coding RNA (LUSI_LNC002573)
Source: RNAcentral